AAUUUUGGACAAUCGGCGCAACCCUGAUCCAUCCAUGCCGCGUGUGUGAAGAAGGCCUUCGGGUUUUUAAGCCCUUUCUGACGCAAAGAAAUCGCGCAGGCUAACACCCUUCGCGGAUGACCGCCACGCCAUAAGAAGCCCCGGCCACCUACGUCCCAGCAGCCGCGGUAAUACGUAGGGGGCGAGCGUUAAUCGGAAUUACGGGGCGUAAAGCGUGCGCAGGCGGUUGAUUAAGACAGGCGUGAAAUCCCCGGGCUUAACCUGGGAACUGCGCUUGUGACUGGUCAGCUAGAGUACGGCAGAGGGGGGUGGAAUUCCACGUGUAGCAGUGAAAUGCGUAGAGAUGUGGAGGAACACCGAUGGCGAAGGCAGCCCCCUGGGCCGAUACUGACGCUCAUGCACGAAAGCGUGGGUAGCAAACAGG
Molecule: ribosomal RNA, 424 nt
Filed under: uncultured bacterium
Lineage: Bacteria
Description: partial 16S ribosomal RNA
Rfam family: Bacterial small subunit ribosomal RNA
Source: RNAcentral